This 231-nucleotide unclassified non-coding RNA is filed under the name Hevea brasiliensis (rubber tree). The record is from RNAcentral. Lineage: Eukaryota; Viridiplantae; Streptophyta; Magnoliopsida; Malpighiales; Euphorbiaceae.
CUAAUGGACAGAGAGAAAGAGAAAGAGAAAGCAUAAGCACCUCCUCCUCUAUUUCCAUUUCCACAAUCUUCUUCUUAGAUCUUAGUUUCUCUGAAUUUCCCAUCUUGUCCUUUAUAAAAUGGAAUGCUGUGUUGAGUUUUGAUUGGUGCUAGAAGCAUCAGGCGAUUCCAGAUUGGAUUUAACAUACAGCACUUUGAUUUUUAUUGGGCACCAAUCAGAUUCUAUCUUUAU